This 455-nucleotide ribosomal RNA is filed under the name Escherichia coli. Its description in RNAcentral is "partial 23S ribosomal RNA". It matches the Rfam family "Bacterial large subunit ribosomal RNA", at positions 10 to 504 of the family's 2925-position model. Lineage: Bacteria; Pseudomonadati; Pseudomonadota; Gammaproteobacteria; Enterobacterales; Enterobacteriaceae. The record is from RNAcentral.
ACUAAGCGUACACGGUGGAUGCCCUGGCAGUCAGAGGCGAUGAAGGACGUGCUAAUCUGCGAUAAGCGUCGGUGAGGUGAUAUGAACCGUUAUAACCGGCGAUUUCCGAAUGGGGAAACCCAGUGUGUUUCGACACACUAUCAUUAACUGAAUCCAUAGGUUAAUGAGGCGAACCGGGGGAACUGAAACAUCUAAGUACCCCGAGGAAAAGAAAUCAACCGAGAUUCCCCCAGUAGCGGCGAGCGAACGGGGAGGAGCCCAGAGCCUGAAUCAGUGUGUGUGUUAGUGGAAGCGUCUGGAAAGGCGCGCGAUACAGGGUGACAGCCCCGUACACAAAAAUGCACAUAUUGUGAGCUCGAUGAGUAGGGCGGGACACGUGGUAUCCUGUCUGAAUAUGGGGGGACCAUCCUCCAAGGCUAAAUACUCCUGACUGACCGAUAGUGAACCAGUACCGU